UUCCUUGUAAAAGCAGAGACAACCUCUGCCACCCCCCAUUGCCAUGAUAACUGCAGGGGACAAGCAAUUUCACGCAGUAAUUUCGCACGCCUGGAGAUGCGCUCAUAGCUCAAGUCAGCGAAUUGUUUAUUAAGCGAAGAGGAUUUGCGAGAAGCGCAGCUGAGAGGCAAUACAAUGACUGGACUUGCAAAUCUCCCAGCCGGGGAUGUGCUGUUCUGGAAGGGGAUGUGAAGUGUCUCUGAGUUUGAACGUCGUGAGUCUGAUUCUGCUCUUAGCCUGUACACUAGGAGUCAGGAGUGACUCCGUUGAAGUCAAAGGAGAUACGCCAGUGCAAAACUGGUGCAACGGAGAGAAAGACGAACACGGCGAUCCCGCUGAAACUUGAAUCAUAUUUACAUCCCAUUGAUGUCAACAGGACUUAAGUCCAUGCUUACUUUUCUGAAUAGGGACUGGCUUAUGUCCCUGCUGACACUGAAGCAGGUACUUAAAUGCUUUGCUGACUCUGGGCCUAAGGGCCUCAUCCAAACCCAUCAAAGUCAAAUGGAAUCUUUCCAUCAACUUCCUUGGUCUUUGAAUCAUAUAAUACAGCGCCGUUCAUUCAGGAGACUCAAAGCACUCCAUAAACACUGGCUAAAUAGCCUCCCAAAAUCCCUGUCUGGUACAUUCUGGCUAUGUAGGGUCAUUUACACUUACCAUUAAAUGCAGUCACUCCUCAGUGGAAUCCUAAAGGCAGCUCCUAAACAUCACCUGACACAGCAAUCUAGGACAGGAAGUGAAGAAGGAUACUCCAUCCAAUUAUGACAGAAAGAAGAAAUGUAAGGGAGAACAUUGACCCAGGGACAUAGCUAUGGCAGAAGGGGUAACAUCCCCAUUUCUAAAGAGAAAUGUUAUGGUAGCUUAAAUGACCACAAACGAUCAGGGCUUUAAUGAAGCAACACGGUCUAGUGGGUAAGGCAGUAGUUUGGGGCUCAGAGGAGCUGGUUUCUGGUCGACACUUCGCCACCAACCUGCUGUGUGACCUUGGACAAGUAGCGGAACCUCUCUUUCUGCUCCUACACUGUGUCUGUCUUCUCUGUUUGGAUUGUCCGCUCUUCUGGGCAGGGACUCUCACUCACCAUAUGUGUACAGUGUCUGGCACAAUGGAGCCUUGGUCUUAGGUGAGGCCUCUGUAUGCUACCAUAACAUAAACAAAACAAUAAUAAACUGAGAGAUGGACCUUCUGGCAGCACAGGGUCCCCUAGCAUCACACCGGGGGAUUGGAUCCCUUCACCUAUCUGUACUCUGGAUGUCUCCCAUCCAAAAUGGAGCCAGCCCAUUGCUUGAGGUGGAAUGACUGCAGGCCACGAGCAUUCUUCUUUCCAAGGAUAAAAUAAUCCAAUGCCCUUGGAGAGUGCCGGACAAAUGCAUCGCCUAGCCUUUCGCUUUAAUCCAAUUGCAGUCGCUUCCCAGAACUCCCUCCUGAAAGCUGGCGGUGCAGUCUCCAGUACCUUUAUGUUCCCAGGUAAAAGAGCCGUAGCGCAAAGAGGAUGGAAAGCACAUUUCAGAACAGCAAUUCCUUACUGCCAAGCUGGAGGAUGUCACUUAACCGUGAGAAAGCAGGGAAGGAAGAAGGAACUCUCCUUUGCUGUCAGAAUCCUUCAGAGAGCAUUAGGAGAGAGGCUGUGUUCAGGGCUGCAUCUUGAGUAAAUCCUGGUUUAGCUGAUUGGCCCACAAUCCUCUCCUU
Long non-coding RNA from Mauremys mutica (yellowpond turtle), 1723 nucleotides. RefSeq lists it as uncharacterized. NCBI's taxonomy places the organism in Eukaryota, Metazoa, Chordata, Testudines, Geoemydidae. The record is from RefSeq and is a predicted model, not a curated record. The transcript is spliced from 3 exons.